UUUGCGUCGAAGGUAUACCGGUAAGGAGUGCUGGAGCGAAUAGAAGUGAGCAUGCAGGCAUGAGUAGCGAUAAUUAAUGUGAGAAUCAUUAACGCCGUAAACCCAAGGUUUCCUACGCGAUGCUCGUCAUCGUAGGGUUAGUCGGGUCCUAAGUCGAGUCCGAAAGGGGUAGACGAUGGCAAAUUGGUUAAUAUUCCAAUACCAACAUUAGUGUGCGAUGGAAGGACGCUUAGGGCUAAGGGGGCUAGCGGAUGGAAGUGCUAGUCUAAGGUCGUAGGAGGUUAUACAGGCAAAUCCGUAUAACAAUACUCCGAGAACUGAAAGGCUUUUUGAAGUCUUCGGAUGGAUAGAAGAACCCCUGAUGCCGUCGAGCCAAGAAAAGUUUCUAAGUUUAGCUAAUGUUGCCCGUACCGUAAACCGACACAGGUGGGUGGGAUGAGUAUUCUAAGGCGCGUGGAAGAACUCUCUUUAAGGAACUCUGCAAAAUAGCACCGUAUCUUCGGUAUAAGGUGUGGUUAGCUUUGUAUUAGGAUUUACUCCGAAAGCAAGGAAACUUACAACAAAGAGUCCCUCCCGACUGUUUACCAAAAACACAGCACUCUGCUAACUCGUAAGAGGAUGUAUAGGGUGUGACGCCUGCCCGGUGCUCGAAGGUUAAUUGAUGGGGUUAGCAUUAGCGAAGCUCUUGAUCGAAGCCCGAGUAAACGGCGGCCGUAACUAUAACGGUCCUAAGGUAGCGAAAUUCCUUGUCGGUUAAAUACCGACCUGCAUGAAUGGCGUAACGAGAUGGGAGCUGUCUCAAAGAGGGAUCCAGUGAAAUUGUAGUGGAGGUGAAAAUUCCUCCUACCCGCGGCAAGACGGAAAGACCCCGUGGACCUUUACUACAGCUUGACACUGCUACUUGGAUAAGAAUGUGCAGGAUAGGUGGGAGGCUUUGAGUAUAUGACGCCAGUUGUAUAUGAGCCAUUGUUGAGAUACCACUCUUUCUUAUUUGGGUAGCUAACCAGCUUGAGUUAUCCUCAAGUGGGACAAUGUCUGGUGGGUAGUUUGACUGGGGCGGUCGCCUCCCAAAUAAUAACGGAGGCUUACAAAGGUUGGCUCAGAACGGUUGGAAAUCGUUCGUAGAGUAUAAAGGUAUAAGCCAGCUUAACUGCAAGACAUACAAGUCAAGCAGAGACGAAAGUCGGUCUUAGUGAUCCGGUGGUUCUGUGUGGAAGGGCCAUCGCUCAAAGGAUAAAAGGUACCCCGGGGAUAACAGGCUGAUCUCCCCCAAGAGCUCACAUCGACGGGGAGGUUUGGCACCUCGAUGUCGGCUCAUCGCAUCCUGGGGCUGGAGCAGGUCCCAAGGGUAUGGCUGUUCGCCAUUUAAAGCGGUACGCGAGCUGGGUUCAGAACGUCGUGAGACAGU
Molecule: ribosomal RNA, 1408 nt
Filed under: Campylobacter coli
Lineage: Bacteria; Pseudomonadati; Campylobacterota; Epsilonproteobacteria; Campylobacterales; Campylobacteraceae
Description: partial 23S ribosomal RNA
Rfam family: Bacterial large subunit ribosomal RNA
Source: RNAcentral